Molecule: long non-coding RNA, 478 nt
Filed under: Homo sapiens (human)
Lineage: Eukaryota; Metazoa; Chordata; Mammalia; Primates; Hominidae
Description: long non-coding RNA NONHSAT149666.1
Source: RNAcentral
GGCCAACAUCUGAGUCUCCUCAGCACUCAAGUUUGAGAGAAGUCCUAGUGACUUCAAGCUCGGAACUAACGCGGCAGCGGCUCCCUCUCGACGUUGAAGCCUCCCUCCCUUUCCAGGGAGAGACGAGGCACGGACCGACAAAGCCCACGAACACCGAUGAGCGAGCUGCCGGCCACCCCAGCUUCUACAAUCCGACCUUCUCCUUCUGCCUCUACCGACAAAAUGGACAGAAAUUUACUUUUUAAAAGACACUUUCAAGAGAAUGAGAAGAUAAUCAUCAAGUGGGAGAAAAUAUCUGUAAAUCUUCUAUCUAAGAAAACACUUGAUCCAGGAUGUAAUGAAGCACUGUCACAACGGCAAUUAAAUUUCAACAUGAGUUUUGGGAGGAACAUUCAAACCAUGGCAGAUUAUUCUCCUAGGCUGCUUUGACCUAGGUUAUUUCCAGCUCCCUUUCAUAACUGCCUCAGUCCUGUUCCGU